GAAAUGCGAUAAGUAGUGUGAAUUGCAGAAUUCAGUGAAUCAUCGAAUCUUUGAACGCACAUUGCGCCCCUUGAUAUUCCAUGGGGCAUGCCUGUUCGAGCGUCAUUUGUACCCUCAAGCUCUGCUUGGUGUUGGGUGUUUGUCCCGUCUCCGCGCGUGGACUCGCCCCAAAGUGAUUGGCAGCCGGCGUACUGGUCCCGGAGCGCAGCACAUGUCGCGCAAACGAGUGCCUUGGUACGGCGGCGUCCAUAAGCCCCUCUCUCACGCUCUUGACCUCGGAUCAGGUAGGGAUACCCGCUGAACUUAAGC
This 309-nucleotide unclassified non-coding RNA is filed under the name plant metagenome. Its description in RNAcentral is "partial contains 5.8S ribosomal RNA, internal transcribed spacer 2, and large subunit ribosomal RNA". The stretch from base 1 to 105 matches the Rfam family "5.8S ribosomal RNA", at positions 50 to 154 of the family's 154-position model. The record is from RNAcentral.